Caenorhabditis elegans is the source of this 140-nucleotide non-coding RNA. The record is from Ensembl. Lineage: Eukaryota; Metazoa; Nematoda; Chromadorea; Rhabditida; Rhabditidae.
AAGGUACCGCCGGUUACGUAUGCCCUUUUGCGGUGAGGCAUGAACUUUACUUUCCACUUGUCGCCUUCAGUUUUUCAAUGAGAUGUAAAUAUGAAAUUGAAAAAAUAAUAUAUAAAUUUGAACGCGCGAAAUAUAAAACU